Molecule: non-coding RNA, 90 nt
Organism: Mycena rebaudengoi
Lineage: Eukaryota; Fungi; Basidiomycota; Agaricomycetes; Agaricales; Mycenaceae
Source: the annotation of a GenBank genome assembly
UCGGAUGUGGUGUAUGGUGCACACCAGCUUCAUAUAUCCCACGAAAGGUCAUAUAAGCUGAAGGCCGGGGUUCGACUCCCCGCAUCCGAA